UACACACGUANUACAAUGGUCGCCAACAGAGGGAAGCCAAACCGCGAGGUGGAGCAAANCCCCAAAAGCGAUCUCAGUUCGGAUUGUAGGCUGCAACCCGCCUACAUGAAGUUGGAAUUGCUAGUAAUCGCGGAUCAGCAUGCCGCGGUGAAUACGUUCCCGGGCCUUGCACACACCGCCCGUCACACCAUGGGAGCCGGUAAUACCCGAAGCCAAUAGUCUAACCGCAANGAGGACGNNGUCGAAGGUAGGAUUGGCGACUGGGGUGAAGUCGUAACAAGGUAGCCGUGUCGGAAGGUGCGGCUGGAUCACCUCCUU
Molecule: ribosomal RNA, 318 nt
Filed under: uncultured bacterium
Lineage: Bacteria
Description: bacterial SSU rRNA
Rfam family: Bacterial small subunit ribosomal RNA
Source: RNAcentral